GAUUUUUGUAGGUGCACCACUUGGAACCCAAGGAGGAACCCAAGCAUCUCCCAAUGUUGAUUAUGGAAAUUUGAUGGAAUGUGUGAUUAACAAGCAAAGUUGUGAGCAUGUACCAGUUGAUAGACGAACACGUAAGUAAAACAAGACUUAGCAAGCAAAGCAGGCAUUUGUUUGAAACACGCAGGGGUGCCUGAGUAAAUGCC
This is a non-coding RNA of Paramuricea clavata, 203 nucleotides long. NCBI's taxonomy places the organism in Eukaryota, Metazoa, Cnidaria, Anthozoa, Malacalcyonacea, Plexauridae. The record is from the annotation of a GenBank genome assembly.